Long non-coding RNA from Felis catus (domestic cat), 1909 nucleotides. RefSeq lists it as uncharacterized. The record is from RefSeq and is a predicted model, not a curated record. NCBI's taxonomy places the organism in Eukaryota, Metazoa, Chordata, Mammalia, Carnivora, Felidae. The transcript has 3 exons.
UCCAUUUUGUCGAUGAACAGGCAGCCCUGCAAGUGGUCCAUCUCAUGCUGGAUGAUACGGGCUGCCCAUCCACUCGCCUGCCACACCACCUGCUCCCCUCUGGGGUCCAGCCCUGCAAAGUAAUUUACAGCCUGGAAAACAUCCUGUACUACGACAGACCAGGAAUGGCCUAUCACCCUGGACUGGGCAAAGCUGGGUCCCACUAUUUCCACUCGACCAUGACAGAUGCAACUGAGGCAAAAGUCUGUGUGUGGGACAGCGAACUAGAGGGCACAGAGCAGAGGACCUGGUGUGAGGUACCAUCGAAUUAGGUCACCUUCUCAGCCCCAAUACAUUUUCCCAGCGAGCUGGCUCAGCUGCUACACGAGCCUCUUCCCCUAUCCCAAUUGGUUAGUCUUGAAUCAAAUCCACUCCCCGGUCCAGCUCUUAGUUCCUGACGGAAGGCUUCAUUGAGCCUGCCCUUCCACUUUUAACUGGAGUUUUGACAAAACCGUUUCGUGGGGCCCGAGGUCGCCGCCUCCAUGGGCUGGGGGAGGGACGCAACCGUUUAUCCAACCGCCUCACGGCCACUGCCCACCCCCUGCACCUGAGAUCUGCACGGCCUGGAAGCGGGGCACGCAGGCCAGGAAGCCGACGACGCUCUCGCAGCCCUCAGGGAAGGUGACCAGGCGGCUGUCCAGCACCCGCAGGCUGGGGUUCACGAACACGCGCAAGGGGAAGGGCUCCAUCUGGCGGGCCUCGCGCAGGCGCGGCGCGCAGGCGCGGAAGAGUGACUCGGGGAACUCCAGAGCCAACACCUGUAGCGGCACCCCGAGCUGCGGAGCGCUCAGGCCUACGCAGCGCCGGCGUCGCAUCACUUGCACCAGCCGCUGCACCAGCCGCUGCAGCUCGGGCCCCGCCAGCUGCGCGGGCUCCACCGGGGCCGCCACGGCCCGCAGCGCCGGGUCCCCGACCUGACACACGCGCGGGUACGGCGGCUCGGGCGCUCCCCGCACCAGGCGCCGCACGUAGCGCCAGUAAGACCGCUGGCGCGCCGGGCCCUCGAGGCCGUCCGGGGCGGACGCGGAGCUACAGGCCCGGACGCUGCGGCCCCCCGUCCCCUCUCCCCACGGCGGUGUCGGCCCCAAGCAGUGACGCGACCGCCCCAGCAGCGGCCCCAGCAGCAGUCCGGCCCCCAUCCGGCCCCCGGUGCGCCGAGCACAGCUGCCCAGCCACCACGGUCCUCCCCGGCCCCCGUAGGAGAGCGCUCCGGUCGCGGGGGACGCCGGGAAGCGCAGUUUCCGCGCGCCUUGAGAGCGCAGCCGGCCUCCGUGACGUCAGUCAGCUUUAUUGUUUAAUUCCGUUUUUUACAGUAUCACCAACCAUUUGCAAAAGUGACCGGGAGGUCCCCCCUUUCACGGGCUGUGAUGAAUGCCCUCGCAGCCUGUCCUCCGGGGCUGUCCCCAGCUUUCACCUGCCUCCCCCCACCCCCGCGCCGGCGCGAGUUAGGUGUCCGCACCCGGCACCUCGGCCUGCAGCGGCUCGGCCGUGUCAGCCUGCUCCUGCGCACCCUCGGGGAAAGCCGCAGCGACCGGCUCGACGCCUGACUCCUCGGGGGGGACUUCCGGUGCUGGAGCUGGGAGCUCGGGCACCAGCUCCUUUUCGUCUAGACACAGGACCAGCUCUCUCUUCGGCAGGAUGAAGGCGAGAGGCUCCUGGACGACGUCGAUGUUCACAUGCCCAAGGUUGCCGUACUUGGAGAGCUGAGUGGGAGGGAUGCCUGAGCCAAAAGGUCUGUGCUAUCUGAGCUGGUGGAAAAAGGACUUGGAGACAGCGAUUUAAAUAUGGAACAAGGUCUUCCACGAAGACGGUGCAGAACUGGAUGAAGAGCUCUUGCUCCCCACUGCUGAAAGCAGCCUCUUCUGCACGA